Non-coding RNA from Penaeus vannamei (Pacific white shrimp), 358 nucleotides. Lineage: Eukaryota; Metazoa; Arthropoda; Malacostraca; Decapoda; Penaeidae. The record is from RefSeq and is a predicted model, not a curated record.
CCGAACCGGCAUCCUGUACCUGUGGUGUCCUAGGAUCCCUAAUAUAAAGUUCCUUCCAGGGUCCUCGGUACACACUCGCAGGAACUUCCUCCGUGGAACAUCUCCGCGAAUACUUGCAACUUCUGUUGUUUUAAUACGGUCUGAAGAUCUGAAAGCGCGAUGGGCCGUCACUCUCUCGUUGGCGUUAUACUUGCCCUGGUCCUGGCGUCUGUGCUGGCGGCGGCGACCCCUUGUCCGAUACAGAAAAGUCCACGGUAUCUGCCUCACAGUAUGGACUGCUGGAUAACCUGGAGGAAUCCGAGAACUUAUUAAAGAUAAGUAAGAGACACGCUGAGAUACAUCAUGUUGCAAAGGUAAG